This 236-nucleotide unclassified non-coding RNA is filed under the name uncultured fungus. RNAcentral's name for it is "partial contains 5.8S ribosomal RNA, internal transcribed spacer 2, and large subunit ribosomal RNA". Lineage: Eukaryota; Fungi. The record is from RNAcentral.
AACGCACAUUGCGCCCUUUGGCAUUCCGAGGGGCAUACCCGUUCGAGCGUCAUUUCACCACUCAAGCCUGGCUUGGUGUUGGGUCCCCGGGUGACCGGGACCUCAAAACACCGUCGGCCGGAUGCUCCGGACCUCAGCGUCGUGGCUCAACAUCGCUGUCGGGAGGGGGCGUCGGCGCCGUUAAACGUUUAUUCAAGGUUGACCUCGGAUCGGGUAGGGAUACCCGCUGAACUUAA